Molecule: long non-coding RNA, 299 nt
Filed under: Nicotiana benthamiana
Lineage: Eukaryota; Viridiplantae; Streptophyta; Magnoliopsida; Solanales; Solanaceae
Description: long non-coding RNA (NBEN_LNC012114)
Source: RNAcentral
AAUCGAUUACCAGAAAAGCCAUAAUCGAUUAUUUUACUACUUUGAAAAAUCUGAUGCUCACUACCUCAACAUAAUCGAUUAUCAUAAGGUACAUAAUCGAUUAUUUUGUAGCCUUGAAUAAUCUGGUGAACACUGCCUUAACAUAAUCGAUUAUCAUAAGGUACAUAAUCGAUUAUCUUUCAGCUUUGUAAAAUCUGGUGUACACUGCCUUAACAUAAUCAAUUAUCAAAAGGUACAUAAUCGAUUAUCUUUCAGCUUUGUAAAAUCUGGUGUACACUGCCUUAACAUAAUCGAUUAUC